GCGCUCGUAGCUCAGCUGGAUGCGGUACCUGGCUGCGAACCAGGCGGCCGUAGGCUCGAGUCCUACCGAGCGCACCA
Molecule: transfer RNA, 77 nt
Filed under: Gammaproteobacteria bacterium
Lineage: Bacteria; Pseudomonadati; Pseudomonadota; Gammaproteobacteria
Description: tRNA-Arg
Rfam family: tRNA
About the family: Transfer RNA (tRNA) molecules are approximately 80 nucleotides in length. Their secondary structure includes four short double-helical elements and three loops (D, anti-codon, and T loops). Further hydrogen bonds mediate the characteristic L-shaped molecular structure. tRNAs have two regions of fundamental functional importance: the anti-codon, which is responsible for specific mRNA codon recognition, and the 3' end, to which the tRNAs corresponding amino acid is attached (by aminoacyl-tRNA synthetases). tRNAs cope with the degeneracy of the genetic code in two manners: having more than one tRNA (with a specific anti-codon) for a particular amino acid; and 'wobble' base-pairing, i.e. permitting non-standard base-pairing at the 3rd anti-codon position.
Source: RNAcentral